GAAAUGCGAUACGUAAUGUGAAUUGCAGAAUUCAGUGAAUCAUCGAAUCUUUGAACGCACAUUGCGCCUUCUGGUAUUCCGGGAGGCAUGCUUGUUUGAGUAUCAGUAAACACCCUCGACUUUUCCUCUCUCUCUCUCUCUCUCUCUCCUCACUUCUCGCGAAGGAAAGGAGGGGGGGGAGGAUAAGAGAUGUGGUUCAAGUUGGACUUGAGCAGUUUCCAAACUCUCUCACUCAAUCUUGAGGGAGAGGUGUACGGAAU
Molecule: unclassified non-coding RNA, 260 nt
Filed under: uncultured fungus
Lineage: Eukaryota; Fungi
Description: sequence contains ITS1
Rfam family: 5.8S ribosomal RNA (bases 1-105)
Source: RNAcentral